This 461-nucleotide ribosomal RNA is filed under the name Streptococcus australis. Its description in RNAcentral is "bacterial SSU rRNA". It matches the Rfam family "Bacterial small subunit ribosomal RNA", at positions 28 to 474 of the family's 1533-position model. The record is from RNAcentral. Lineage: Bacteria; Bacillati; Bacillota; Bacilli; Lactobacillales; Streptococcaceae.
GAUGAACGCUGGCGGCAUGCCUAAUACAUGCAAGUAGAACGCUGAAGGAGGAGCUUGCUCUUCUGGAUGAGUUGCGAACGGGUGAGUAACGCGUAGGUAACCUGCCUGGUAGCGGGGGAUAACUAUUGGAAACGAUAGCUAAUACCGCAUAACAGUAGAUAUUGCAUGAUAUCUGCUUGAAAGGUGCAAUUGCAUCACUACCAGAUGGACCUGCGUUGUAUUAGCUAGUUGGUGAGGUAACGGCUCACCAAGGCGACGAUACAUAGCCGACCUGAGAGGGUGAUCGGCCACACUGGGACUGAGACACGGCCCAGACUCCUACGGGAGGCAGCAGUAGGGAAUCUUCGGCAAUGGACGGAAGUCUGACCGAGCAACGCCGCGUGAGUGAAGAAGGUUUUCGGAUCGUAAAGCUCUGUUGUAAGAGAAGAACGAGUGUGAGAGUGGAAAGUUCACACUGGACG